This 3082-nucleotide long non-coding RNA is filed under the name Megachile rotundata (alfalfa leafcutting bee). RNAcentral describes it as "uncharacterized LOC105663385". The record is from RNAcentral. Lineage: Eukaryota; Metazoa; Arthropoda; Insecta; Hymenoptera; Megachilidae.
UAUUACACUGAAAGCGUUACUACUUGCUCUUCUAUUUUUGCGCGAACACUUUCGCUUUUCGCUAUCUAGCGCACGCUUUGACCGUUCGCGUAAUUAUCUGAGCGGAUCGAUGCACUUCGAUUACGGAUCGAAUACCGCUUUCGAUAAAUCCCCGGCAAUGAGCCGUGAUAGAACAAUUGUAUCUUUAUAUUUUAUUCCUCAUACAUUUGUGUAUGUGAAUAGUGUUCGAAAUCAGAUACCAGGAAAGCGUAAUUGCUUAGUUUAACUUGUCGCUGGAUAUCAAAGACAUCUCAUUAAAAGAUAUCGAUGCCAUAUGCACGUAUCAAUAAACGAUAGUAAAUAGCUUCGAGUUCCGCCACUUUUAAUCGUCAACAACUGUACAAAUCGCGGGCGAUUAAGUGGCUUGUAAAAUUUAAUAUUGGUCAAUGCAGAUCGUGACGCUGGUAUCUAAUCAAUAAAACGGUAGUACAAAGUGUAAACAGUAAAACGUAGCCAGAAUUGAAGUGAAUCAACUCUGUCGAGAUAACGGGAGCAAACAAAAAAACUUCUUUGACCUCGCACUUCCAAUUAUGUUGAUAACAAUAUGAAUAUUACCGAACGUAAUUAAAAAUAAUGUUAUGCGUUACUGGCAUGUGCCAUUGAAUUUUUUCACUUAAGCUUUGACGGCCAGUGCCAUUGAUAUACCAAUUUUUAGUGCAUUCGCGACGAAUAACGAAAGCCGAUAACUUUACGACGUACAAUAGCUCUGUAAGUUUUUCAGUAAUACAAAAACGUAUGAAAAAGAUCGAUCAAGGUAACUCAACUAUCCGAUCAUUCGAAAAUUGUAUCUUGAAUUUGCAAUUUAACCGUCGCCUUGAGAGUACUGAUUUCGUUGUUUUUGUAUUGACGUCCUUCAUUCGUUAUCUAAGAGAUACUUAGUGUUUUGUUAGUCGAGAAGGGGAGGAUGCUCCAAAAUGAGAAAUUAUUGCGCGGCGAUCAAGAGAGAUGGAAAAAAACUCCUGGAAAGACGCUAAUGUAAAUAGAACGGUGCAUCGGUGCUUUUUUCUGCGACUCGUUCGAAUAGAUUCGUCGUUUUGUCGCAUUAUCGCGUCACGUGUGGGAUCGGCAAAUUAUCGCAACCAGACGGUGAACUACGGACCAAGCGAACGGCGGUGGAUCGUGUCGAAAUGCAUUCUCAUCGCUUCAGCGCAAUGAGAUCGAAAAAUUAGCGAAUGAUCCAUCGCCGCUUUGAUAAGGUCAACAACGAAGAUUGCAAUCGCUAACUAGCUUUUCUUUUAUGAAGUUGCGUUACUUUAUUGUGUAAUAGACAACUAUUAUCUUUCGAUUAUAAGUUAGAAUAUGAAGUUGUAUUAGGGAUCACACUUUAUUGCAUAGUGCAAUUUAUAUUUAAUUUAAAUUUAUAUAUAUUUAUGUAAAUAAUAGUAGAGCUUACACACUUCAAAUUUGACAAUGAUAUGUAUUGACUACAAAUUAUUUAGAGAAAUUAAUCAUAUUUAAAUUUACUUCAACUAAAAUUAAUUCAGAACCAAUACUGUUUUUCUGACCAAAGCAAAUAACACGUGUCCACGUUUCAACAUAAUUGAACCAAUACAUAUUUUUGUUAACUUUAUAACUAACAAUUUAGAUAUCUACUGAUUAUAAAUUGGGAAAUAAAUUUGCGAAAUUGGAACACUGUUACAACAUUCAUCGCAAAAAAUAAUAUGUUUGUUCCACGACAAAAUGUUUAUUGAACUGCUGCCAUUAUCUUCGUACAUUACACAAAAAGGCUGUUAUUAUAUUCGCUUAAAUGUAGUUUAAGUAUUUUGCAAGUAUUAAAAAUUAUUAGUACUUUAUUUCACGGUUGACAAAUAUAGAAUGUAUAAUGAUAAUGUGUUUCAAGUUUGCAAGUAGUGUAUGAGUAUAUGAUUAUGAGUAUAUUAAUGAGUAUAUAAACAAGUGUAUGAGUAUACAAACAAUGUUUAUAUACUCAGUGGUAUAACAAACUAGUUAAGUGUUUAUUUAUUGCAAAUUAAAUUGGUGAAUUUAGAACGUUCUUAUUCAUAAAUUUAUAAGUAUAUAAACAUGUAUGAUUAUGAGUAUAUUAAUGAGUAUAUGUAUAAAAAAGUGUAUGAGUAUACAAACAAUGUUUAUAUACUCAGUGGUAUAACAGACUAGUUAAGUGUUUAUUUAUUGCAAAUUAAAUUGGUGAAUUUAGAACGUUCUUAUUCAUAAAUUUAUAAGUAUAUAAACAUGUAUGAUUAUGAGUAUAUUAAUGAGUAUAUAAAAAAGUGUAUCAGUAUAAAAACAAUAUUUAUAUACUCAGUGGUAUAACAGACUGGUUAGGUGUUUAUUUAUUGCAAAUAAAAUUGGUAAAACGUUCUAAUUCAUAAAUUUAUAACACCUUGAAUUAUGACAACAAUGUAUAUUUUUGAAUUAAGGUCGCACCCUGAAUCUGGCUGAAUCGAAUAACAUUAUGCUAGAUGAAAGUGAAACGAGGGCGAUGGAGAGUUAUAGUGCAGCAUGGAGAUCGUAUACAUCCAGAACAUAAUGUCCACGAAACUCGCCUUGCAGUCGAGGUGAAUUCAGGGAGACGAAAAAGAAAAAAGACAACGUUGAGAUUGCCCAGAGAAAGGAAACGUGCUUAGCGUAGUAGCCGGUUGUCAUUGAUUAAUUUCCUGGAACAUAGGAUCACGGAUAGCGGUGACAUAGGGUGCGCGAAAAUCUCGAAGUUUCGGUAAACUUCGGACCCGUUUUCUCCAACGAGAUACCGAUACCUUUACUCUCGUGGGAAAUCAGUAAAAUUUAUUCGAGAAGUUACUUUUAAUGAAUGCAAGCAUUAGUCUUGUCAAGAAUUUUAACAGUUUUGUUUUGUAGGUCGAAGGAAAAUUGGAACAAAACAAGUCGUGAUUCGAUUGUUGCGAUUGAUUUUAAUAGCAUCUCGUUUCAAGGUAACGUUCCGUUGCGAGUUUAUCGAGAUUCUAUACAUAUUUUUCUUCACCCUGUGCAACUAAUUAAUCAUAUUGCAAUGUUAGAACCAUUAUUAUUAUUGCUCUUAUACCAUUGCCAUUAUUAUUAAAGCUCUUAUACUUGGCUUUGCAACUUC